AGAUUGAACGCUGGCGGCAGGCCUAACACAUGCAAGUCGAGCGGCAGCACGGGUACUUGUACCUGGUGGCGAGCGGCGGACGGGUGAGUAAUGCCUAGGAAUCUGCCUGGUAGUGGGGGAUAACGCUCGGAAACGGACGCUAAUACCGCAUACGUCCUACGGGAGAAAGCAGGGGACCUUCGGGCCUUGCGCUAUCAGAUGAGCCUAGGUCGGAUUAGCUAGUUGGUGAGUAUGCUCACC
This 240-nucleotide ribosomal RNA is filed under the name uncultured soil bacterium. RNAcentral describes it as "partial 16S ribosomal RNA". It matches the Rfam family "Bacterial small subunit ribosomal RNA", at positions 26 to 269 of the family's 1533-position model. The record is from RNAcentral.